AUGCAUCUCACUCUUGAAUUCGGGGGCGGUCUGGAGCUUCUCCUAGAGAAAUCCACCAAGGUACACAAGGUGGAUGUCCAGCAUAGGGACGGUGAAGACAAGGCCACGAUGAAGGGGUUGCUCUCUUGGGUGAAGUCCAAUUUGAUCAAGGAGCGGCCGGAGAUGUUCAUCAAAGAUGAUUCUGUGAGGCCUGGGGUUCUUGUCCUUAUAAACGACUGCGACUGGGAGUUGUGUGGUGGCCUUGAUGCAGAGUUGGAAGAGAAGGACGUGGUUGUGUUCAUCUCCACACUGCACGGUGGUUAA
Molecule: ribosomal RNA, 303 nt
Filed under: Triticum aestivum (bread wheat)
Lineage: Eukaryota; Viridiplantae; Streptophyta; Magnoliopsida; Poales; Poaceae
Description: partial small subunit ribosomal RNA
Source: RNAcentral